UAAUUCUCCAAACAAAGGGUGGUUAAAAUACACCACGGGCACCAAAAUCCUACGAAAAUCUCCAUCUUUCUGACCCACGUACACGGCCAUAUGCCCUUUUGGAACGGGCGCCGGCUUUUCUUGAAUCGGUUCUUGCCCAACCCGCAGGUAGCCCCUGCCCGAGCCUAGACCACUAUUGCUAGAAAGUAUAGCCUUGGCUUUUGUCCUGAGUUUGUGGGUCCAGCUUACGAGCUUUGAAAUACGUUUGGCCUGGCAGGUUUCAGGCGAAUUCAGAAGACGGUAUCCACCUGAUCUGCAACGCCGUCGGAAAACACGCCGGAAGAGUGUGGUGAUCCGGUGUUUGAGCCAGAAUCCUCGGAUCUUACCCAUGCCUUUUUUUCAAGAAAAUGGAGGAAUUUAUAA
Molecule: long non-coding RNA, 402 nt
Filed under: Olea europaea (common olive)
Lineage: Eukaryota; Viridiplantae; Streptophyta; Magnoliopsida; Lamiales; Oleaceae
Description: long non-coding RNA (OEUR_LNC001076)
Source: RNAcentral